AUCUACUAUCUAGUUAUUA
This 19-nucleotide microRNA is filed under the name Schistosoma mansoni. RNAcentral's name for it is "sma-miR-8449-3p". Lineage: Eukaryota; Metazoa; Platyhelminthes; Trematoda; Strigeidida; Schistosomatidae. The record is from miRBase by way of RNAcentral.